RNAcentral lists this ribosomal RNA (699 nucleotides) under uncultured bacterium. RNAcentral's name for it is "bacterial SSU rRNA". It matches the Rfam family "Bacterial small subunit ribosomal RNA", at positions 62 to 734 of the family's 1533-position model. The record is from RNAcentral.
CCUUGAAGAUCGGAGUGCUUGCACUCUGUGAAACAAGAUACAGGCUAGCGGCGGACGGGUGAGUAACACGUGGGUAACCUGCCCAAGAGAUCGGGAUAACACCUGGAAACAGAUGCUAAUACCGGAUAACAACAGAUGAUGCCUAUCAACUGUUUAAAAGAUGGUUCUGCUAUCACUCUUGGAUGGACCUGCGGUGCAUUAGCUAGUUGGUAGGGUAACGGCCUACCAAGGCGAUGAUGCAUAGCCGAGUUGAGAGACUGAUCGGCCACAUUGGGACUGAGACACGGCCCAAACUCCUACGGGAGGCAGCAGUAGGGAAUCUUCCACAAUGGACGCAAGUCUGAUGGAGCAACGCCGCGUGAGUGAAGAAGGGUUUCGGCUCGUAAAGCUCUGUUGUUGGUGAAGAAGGACAGGGGUAGUAACUGACCUUUGUUUGACGGUAAUCAAUUAGAAAGUCACGGCUAACUACGUGCCAGCAGCCGCGGUAAUACGUAGGUGGCAAGCGUUGUCCGGAUUUAUUGGGCGUAAAGCGAGUGCAGGCGGCUCGAUAAGUCUGAUGUGAAAGCCUUCGGCUCAACCGGAGAAUUGCAUCAGAAACUGUCGAGCUUGAGUACAGAAGAGGAGAGUGGAACUCCAUGUGUAGCGGUGAAAUGCGUAGAUAUAUGGAAGAACACCGGUGGCGAAGGCGGCUCUCUGGUC